GCCGGAGUGGUGAAAUUGGUAGACACGUCGGAUUCAAAAUCCGAUGCGGUAAAACGCGUGCCGGUUCGAGUCCGGCCUCCGGUACCA
This 87-nucleotide transfer RNA is filed under the name Haliea atlantica. RNAcentral describes it as "tRNA-Leu". It matches the Rfam family "tRNA". From Rfam's summary of the family: Transfer RNA (tRNA) molecules are approximately 80 nucleotides in length. Their secondary structure includes four short double-helical elements and three loops (D, anti-codon, and T loops). Further hydrogen bonds mediate the characteristic L-shaped molecular structure. tRNAs have two regions of fundamental functional importance: the anti-codon, which is responsible for specific mRNA codon recognition, and the 3' end, to which the tRNAs corresponding amino acid is attached (by aminoacyl-tRNA synthetases). tRNAs cope with the degeneracy of the genetic code in two manners: having more than one tRNA (with a specific anti-codon) for a particular amino acid; and 'wobble' base-pairing, i.e. permitting non-standard base-pairing at the 3rd anti-codon position. RNAcentral also lists the same sequence under 4 other names. The record is from RNAcentral. Lineage: Bacteria; Pseudomonadati; Pseudomonadota; Gammaproteobacteria; Cellvibrionales; Halieaceae.